CGGGUUAGCAAUAAUUCGGCGGUCCUAGUGGCGUACGGGUGAGUAACACGUGGGCAACUUGCCCUUGAGGCCGGGAUACCCUCUCGAAAGGGAGGCUAAUACUGGAUACGUUCUUCGGGUCGCAAGAUCUGGGGAGGAAAGGUGGCGCAAGCUACCGCUCUUGGAGAGGCUCGCGGCCUAUCAGCUAGUUGGUGAGGUAAUGGCUCACCAAGGCUAUGACGGGUAGCUGGUCUGAGAGGACGACCAGCCACACGGGAACUGAGACACGGUCCCGACUCCUACGGGAGGCAGCAGUGGGGAAUUUUCCGCAAUGGGCGAAAGCCUGACGGAGUGACGCCGCGUGGGGGACGAAGGCCUUCGGGUCGUAAACCCCUGUCAGAGGGAAAGAAGGGUGUCGGCGUGAUAACCGCCGGCACUUGACGGUACCUUCAGAGGAAGCCCCGGCCAACUCUGUGCCAGCAACCGCGGUAAGACAGAGGGGGCAAGCGUUGCUCGGAAUCACUGGGCGUAAAGGGCGCGUAGGCGGGAUGGCAAGUCGGUCGUGAAAUCUCUCGGCUCAACCGAGAAACGUCGGCCGAUACUGCCGUUCUUGAGGGAUGCAGAGGAGACUGGAAUUCCCGGUGUAGCGGUGAAAUGUGUAGAGAUCGGGAGGAACACCGGUGGCGAAGGCGGGUCUCUGGGCAUUUCCUGACGCUGAGGCGCGAAAGCGUGGGGAGCAAACGGGAUUAGAUACCCCGGUAGUCCACGCUGUAAACGAUGACGACUAGGUGUGGGGGGGGUUAGUCCCUUCC
RNAcentral lists this ribosomal RNA (791 nucleotides) under uncultured Chloroflexota bacterium. RNAcentral's name for it is "bacterial SSU rRNA". It matches the Rfam family "Bacterial small subunit ribosomal RNA", at positions 72 to 842 of the family's 1533-position model. Lineage: Bacteria; Bacillati; Chloroflexota. The record is from RNAcentral.